UACAUGGGGUGCAAACGUUGCUCGGAAUUAUUGGGCGUAAAGCGCACGUAGGCGGUUUGUUAAGUCGGAUGUGAAAUCCCUCGGCUCAACUGAGGAAGUGCAUCCGAAACUGGCAAGCUUGAGUACGAAAGAGGAUCGCGGAAUUCCCGGUGUAGAGGUGAAAUUCGUAGAUAUCGGGAGGAACACCGGUGGCGAAGGCGGCGAUCUGGGUCGAUACUGACGCUGAGGUGCGAAAGCGUAGGGAGCAAACAGG
RNAcentral lists this ribosomal RNA (253 nucleotides) under uncultured bacterium. RNAcentral describes it as "partial 16S ribosomal RNA". It matches the Rfam family "Bacterial small subunit ribosomal RNA", at positions 524 to 776 of the family's 1533-position model. The record is from RNAcentral.